CUGUCUCUUGCUCCUACAGUGUUUGGAUGGAACAG
Molecule: non-coding RNA, 35 nt
Organism: Pteropus alecto (black flying fox)
Lineage: Eukaryota; Metazoa; Chordata; Mammalia; Chiroptera; Pteropodidae
Source: Rfam